Non-coding RNA from Coturnix japonica (Japanese quail), 1048 nucleotides. NCBI's taxonomy places the organism in Eukaryota, Metazoa, Chordata, Aves, Galliformes, Phasianidae. The record is from RefSeq and is a predicted model, not a curated record.
CAGUGGAGUUUCUGGCACAUCUGACCUUCUCCAGGGUGAAAGAGCAGCCCUUGAGCACAGAGAUGCAAGAGCUGAGAUGCACAGAUUAUUUCAGGUGACUGUAAGAUAGAUUCCACAAAGACAAACAUUUAAAGAUGCUAUGAUUGCUCAUGGAAUAUGGAAACAACAGCAAGCUAUGUGUCACUCAAGCGUCAAGUGAUACAGUAAAGCAAAUCACCAGCAGAACUUGUGCUAUCAUUAUGGUUUUCCUAAUCUACUCAGGAUCUCGAAGCAGUUGCAGAGAAUUACUAAAAGGCAGAAAAUGUCUCAGAUAUUAACAAGUAUGCAAAGAACAAGAUUGCAACUGCGUGUGCCCAGCAUUCUGAAGACUGAAAUAGGUGAUGGAAGCUCCAGUAUCUGCAGAACACAACUGAAAGUCAUUUAAAGAAGAAAAAUGUAAAAGCAGAAGAGUUACAACUUGCCUCUAAAUCAAAGCCAUGAGGACUCUCUUCUAGAUACUGUUGAUAUAAUAUUUGCCAUUUUUCCUUUGAACCUGCCCAGCUCCUAAUAUAAUUUAUUUAAAUUAGGAAAAGCUUUUCUUUCUUACAUUCUUCAUGUUGUUCCAUACCAUCAGCUCUCUUCCAUGCUGCCAACUAUUAGGGUAGCCCAUCACUGAUUUACUGAGGAAUAAAUGGGCAUGUCCUGUACUCGGGAUUAAAAAUUAGCAGGCAUCCACAGUUUCACCAAUAGAUGAAAAAAUGCAAAGGAAUAUAUACAAAUAUUUUUUUUCCCCAGAUUCUAAUGUCUUAUUAAUGAAUUCAUUUUCUAGAGGCACUUUCAUGACAAGUAUCUCAUCUCAAAUUGUUUGUCAAUAUGACCUCCUAAAACUACAAAAUGGGAAGGAAAGUUCUACAGCCAAUGGAUGAAGUCCAGCUACCUUGAGGACAAGGAUUCAAAGAGUUUAUAUUCUGUGCUACGAGGCACAUAUGUGCAGACCAACAUUUAGACUUCUAAAUGAGUCUCUUCCUUGUGUACAAACAAAUAUAAUAUAUAUGUAUGUAUAUUUGCC